Molecule: ribosomal RNA, 293 nt
Filed under: uncultured bacterium
Lineage: Bacteria
Description: partial 16S ribosomal RNA
Rfam family: Bacterial small subunit ribosomal RNA
Source: RNAcentral
GUAGGGUGCAAGCGUUGUCCGGAAUUACUGGGCGUAAAGAGUUCGUAGGCGGUUUGUCGCGUCGUUUGUGAAAACCAGCAGCUCAACUGCUGGCUUGCAGACGAUACGGGCAGACUUGAGUACUGCAGGGGAGACUGGAAUUCCUGGUGUAGCGGUGAAAUGCGCAGAUAUCAGGAGGAACACCGGUGGCGAAGGCGGGUCUCUGGGCAGUAACUGACGCUGAGGAACGAAAGCGUGGGUAGCGAACAGGAUUAGAUACCCUGGUAGUCNNCCCCUNAANCGNNGGCCCNUAG